UACGAAGGGGGCUAGCGUUGCUCGGAAUUACUGGGCGUAAAGGGCGCGCAGGCGGAUAUUUUAGUCAGAGGUGAAAGCCCAGGGCUCAACCUUGGAACUGCCUUUGAUACUGGGAGUCUUGAGUUCGGGAGAGGUGAGUGGAACUGCGAGUGUAGAGGUGAAAUUCGUAGAUAUUCGCAAGAACACCAGUGGCGAAGGCGGCUCACUGGCCCGGUACUGACGCUGAGGUGCGAAAGCGUGGGGAGCAAACAGG
This 253-nucleotide ribosomal RNA is filed under the name uncultured bacterium. RNAcentral's name for it is "partial 16S ribosomal RNA". It matches the Rfam family "Bacterial small subunit ribosomal RNA", at positions 524 to 776 of the family's 1533-position model. The record is from RNAcentral.